Molecule: ribosomal RNA, 789 nt
Filed under: uncultured bacterium
Lineage: Bacteria
Description: bacterial SSU rRNA
Rfam family: Bacterial small subunit ribosomal RNA
Source: RNAcentral
UUAGGUGCUAUGCUGCAGUUCGAGCGACGCAUGCCCAGUUCGUAAGAACAGGGUAUGACGGAGCGGCGAACGGGUGAGUAACACGUGAGCAACCUGCCCCACAGACCGGGAUAGCCCAAGGAAACUUGGAUUAAUACCGGAUUCCCUCGAACAAUCGCAUGGUUGAUCGAGGAAAGGCCUUUGUGCUGUGGGAUGGGCUCGCGGCUUAUCAGCUAGUUGGUGGGGUAAAGGCCUACCAAGGCAUCGACGAGUAGCUGGUCUGAGAGGACGAUCAGCCACACUGGAACUGAGACACGGUCCAGACUCCUACGGGAGGCAGCAGCAGGGAAUCUUGCGCAAUGGGCGAAAGCCUGACGCAGCAACGCCGCGUGGGGGAUGAAGGCCUUCGGGUUGUAAACCCCUUUCAGGAGGGAAGAAAUUGACGGUACCUCCAGAAGAAGGACCGGCCAACUACGUGCCAGCAGCCGCGGUAAUACGUAGGGUCCUAGCGUUAUUCGGAAUCAUUGGGCGUAAAGAGCUCGUAGGCGGUUCAGCAAGUCGGCCGUGAAAGUCCGAGGCUUAACCUCGGAAUUGCAGUCGAUACUGCUGUGACUCGAGUCCGGUAGAGGAGAAUGGAAUUCUCGGUGUAGCGGUGAAAUGCGCAGAUAUCGAGAGGAACACCAGUAGCGAAGGCGGUUCUCUGGGCCGGCACUGACGCUGAGGAGCGAAAGCGUGGGGAGCAAACAGGAUUAGAUACCCUGAUAGUCCACGCCGUAAACGUUGGAUACUAGGUGUGGCGGUUGUACCAAC